RNAcentral lists this unclassified non-coding RNA (761 nucleotides) under Hevea brasiliensis (rubber tree). The record is from RNAcentral. Lineage: Eukaryota; Viridiplantae; Streptophyta; Magnoliopsida; Malpighiales; Euphorbiaceae.
CAGAGAUGGAGAGAAAUAGAGAAGCUAGAAGAGUAAGUAUGGCCGCUGCCAAUGGUUUAGCGUCCAGAAGACGACAUAGGAGCGGCAGCCUAAGAGAUUCUCCAGAGGAUGAUGGGCCGGUGGAGUUGCAGGAAUCGGCGAGGCUAAGAGAUCGAGUGACUGGGAAAAAGGAUCGAGAUCGAGAUCGGGAUAGAGAGCGAGACCGGGACCGUGACAGAGAGAGGGACAGGGACAGGGACAGAGAUCGGAUAAUCAACAGAGGCAAGAGAAGAAGAGGAGACAGGUUGAUNGAGCAAUAGAGAAGAUGGGGGCGAUGAGAGCUCAGAGGAGAGUGUAAAUGAUGAUGAAGACGAUGAAGAUGAUGAUGGAGGUGGCGUAGGUAGCUCCAUGAGGAUGCCCCCGNNNNNNNNNNNNNCCCUGUCUUCAUCUUCUAUGUCGAAUCAUCACCAUCGGAAAAGUUUCCCCCCGCCGGCCAAAGUUUUUAGAGCCGCGCCGGCGACGGCCUUGUGGAAGGCACCGGAUGAGAUGAUUGGGGUGUCGGUUCCUAGAAAAGCUCGGUCAGCCUCUACUAAGAGGUCCCAUGAAUGGGCUUCAAGUUGUGGAGUUGGUACUGAGCAAAUUCAUCGGCAAGCUUCCACAUCUCCGGUGAGAUCGAAUGGACCAAGCGUAGCAGCGAUGUUGGCCUCAGCGUCCGCGUCCCCAGCUCCAGUCUCGCCGUCUUCUUCUAAUGUUUCAGUUAAGAAGAAGAUGAAGCCUAAUGG